Bubalus bubalis (water buffalo) is the source of this 1049-nucleotide long non-coding RNA. RefSeq lists it as uncharacterized. The record is from RefSeq and is a predicted model, not a curated record. Lineage: Eukaryota; Metazoa; Chordata; Mammalia; Artiodactyla; Bovidae. The transcript has 3 exons.
ACACUGAGGUGCAAAGGAGGGACCCGCUUGCUGGGCAUUGUUCUUGGGGAAUCUGCAAUUCAUGGCAGACAGGUCUCGCCCUCAGGAACUGAUGCUCUGGAGGGAGGGGCUUUCCCACCAUCGGCACAUCGACAAGAUAAAUCCAGGAGCUGGUAAGUGCAGUGAUAACAGGGGAAGGUGGGGUGACUACUUUCUGAAGGCAGCUCAGGAAAGGCCAGGAAGACAGUGCUGAAGCUGAGGCUGGGAUGCUGAGAAGGGAGCCAGGAGAAGGGGUGGGGGGAAGGAAAUCACAAAAGCAAAAGCCUUGCGAUGGGAAGGGACUUGAUUAGUCCAGGAAAAAAGCAAGACCAGGGUGGCCAAAGCCCAGCGGACAAGGAACAGAGAGGGUGGGCAGACAGGAGAUGAGGAGGGAGGUGGAUGGGCAGAGCAGGCGGAGUCUCACCGUCUUGGUUUGGAGUUUGGAUUUUAUUCCGUAUGUCAUAGGAAACCGCCGGAAGGUUCUGAACAGGGGAACUGAGGUUAUCCAGUUUAUGUUUUUAAAAUAUCACUGUGAUAAGCCAGUGUUUAAACUGAGUUUAGGCCCCUAGUCUGGCAUUUUGUUGCGGCAGCCCUGGCAGACUAAGACUUCAGCUUUCUUUUCUUUCGGUGUCCUAAGAAAUGUGAGCCUGACUUGAGGCCACGAAGAUCCUCUCCUGUGCUUACUCAUAUGAGGAAUCUGCCAUUCUGAGAACCCCGAGAGCUCACACAGGUGCUGAACUCCGGAUUCAGUCCCAGGCCUGUCUGACUCCAUGGCUAUACUGCUUCUGGGAUCCAGCAAGGUUGGAUCAGGAUCUGUGGACAUUGGAAAAUGCUGAUGAGGAGGAAAAAGCUAAGAGCCAACUGGGCUUAGGUGUUUGGAGAAGAAAGAAGCAAAUUUAGGAGCCAGUCGUGGUGACUAUGAGAUGAGAGAGAUGGAGAAAAUAGAUUUUAAAACUUUUUGUUCUGUGUUGGGACUGGAAUAUCUUUUGGCAUUUUCAAAGAGACUAAAGAUAUUAAAUGUUUGAAACUAU